CAAGUCGUGGGGCAGCGCGGGUAGCAAUACCUGGCGGCGACCGGCAAACGGGUGCGGAACACGUACGCAACCUUCCUUUAAGCGGAGAAUAGCCCAGGGAAACUUGGAUUAAUACUCCAUAAGAUUAUGGUGUGGCAUCACACAGUAAUUAAAGCUCCGGCACUUAAAGAUGGGCGUGCGGCUGAUUAGGUAGUUGGCGGGGUAACGGCCCACCAAGCCAACGAUCAGUAACUGGUGUGAGAGCACGACCAGUCACACGGGCACUGAGACACGGGCCCGACUCCUACGGGAGGCAGCAGUAAGGAAUAUUGGUCAAUGGACGCAAGUCUGAACCAGCCAUGCCGCGUGGAGGAUGAAGGCCCUCUGGGUUGUAAACUUCUUUUAUUUGGGAAGAAACCCAUCUUUUCUAAGGUGGUUGACGGUACCAGAUGAAUAAGCACCGGCUAACUCCGUGCCAGCAGCCGCGGUAAUACGGAGGGUGCAAGCGUUAUCCGGAUUCACUGGGUUUAAAGGGUGCGUAGGUGGGCAGGUAAGUCAGUGGUGAAAUCUCCGGGCUUAACCCGGAAACUGCCGUUGAUACUAUCUGUCUUGAAUGUAGUGGAGGUGAGCGGAAUAUGUCAUGUAGCGGUGAAAUGCUUAGAUAUGACAUAGAACACCCGUUGCGAAGGCAGCUCGCUACACUAUUAUUGACACUGAGGCACGAAAGCGUGGGGAUCAAACAGGAUUAGAUACCCUGGUAGUCCACGCCCUAAACGAUGGAUACUCGACAUCAGCGAUACACAGUUGGUGUCUGAGCGAAAGCAUUAAGUAUCCCACCUGGGAAGUACGACCGCAAGGUUGAAACUCAAAGGAAUUGACGGGGGUCCGC
RNAcentral lists this ribosomal RNA (868 nucleotides) under uncultured Sphingobacteriales bacterium. RNAcentral describes it as "bacterial SSU rRNA". It matches the Rfam family "Bacterial small subunit ribosomal RNA", at positions 58 to 924 of the family's 1533-position model. The record is from RNAcentral. Lineage: Bacteria; Pseudomonadati; Bacteroidota; Sphingobacteriia; Sphingobacteriales.